This is a long non-coding RNA of Danio aesculapii, 1099 nucleotides long. RefSeq lists it as uncharacterized. The transcript has 3 exons. NCBI's taxonomy places the organism in Eukaryota, Metazoa, Chordata, Actinopteri, Cypriniformes, Danionidae. The record is from RefSeq and is a predicted model, not a curated record.
UGGUGGAACAGGAGAUUCGCAUCACGGAUGUGCAGCCAACAAAUCUGCUGCAACUGCGUAAUGCUAUCAUGUCAAUGUGGAGCAAAAUCUCUGAGGAAUAUUUCCAGUACCUUGUUGAAUCUAUGCCAUAAAGGAUUAAGGCAGAUCUGAAUGCAAAAGGGGGUCCAACCCGAUACUAGUAAGGUGUGCCUAAAAAAGUGGCCUGUGCGUGUACAAAGAAAUAUGUUAUUGAGUGCAUCUACUUUGACGUUUUAGCUAAGGGUGUAAUUAAGGGUAACACAUACACAAAAAAUAAACAGACAUCGCAGUAUUUAUUCAUCAUUCCCUUUAGUUAUUGAAAAUGGUUGUUAAUUGUUAGUAGAGUACAUUAAUGAAUUAGUAAAUGUUGAACUGUUAUUAAUAUAUGCUGUACAGGCAUGGGACUCCUGAAAAAAUCACAUUCAUGGAUUAAGCUAAAGUAUUUAAACUUUAUUGUAAUGGUAAUAUGAAGCAAAGUGUCGAAUCGCAACAAAUCUGCUGGAGCAAUUGAUGAUGAGAGGUGAGUGUGACGCAGCAUGAAAGCACCAGAGCUUCCUUUAUGCCACAGUCUAUUGCUUCCGGUUGUUUCACGCAUGAUCACGUGGGGAAGAAGCAGUGCUGAUUUAUCGAUUUAAAUAGAUUUUAGGGCUCUGUUAUAAUGCUGCACUUUGCAGGUUAAUAAAACACUCAACAUAUUAAAGUGUCUUUGGUGUUUCUGUUUAUAAAAUCAAGGCUGUGUGACGUCAUUAGCAUGGCCACACAAGAACCGGUUUGUCACUAUAGUUAUGAUCACUUAUUUCUCUGGAUUUUAACAUUCUUCAAAACAUUUGGAGUCAUAAACUUGUGUUACAGGUUGUAACAGGAUCAAAAUCCCAGUCUGAAAUCAUCUGAAACUGAUUCAACGGUCUGUCUCCAGCAAAGACCCACAGGGGAUAUUAACUGACAAACACUACUAAGGCCAAAGGACUGUUGCAAAAAGCCGGGUUGGGUUUUUAGGCUUAAGAAGGUGAGUUGAUUUUGGUUUUGUUGCCAUGGUAACUUAGACUACACUGCUACCCUACAACUGCAAACCAAAACUGGA